UGGGGUGUCGCCAAGUGGUAAGGCAGCAGGUUUUGAUCCUGCCAUUCGGAGGUUCGAGUCCUUCCAUCCCAG
RNAcentral lists this transfer RNA (72 nucleotides) under Prototheca wickerhamii. Its description in RNAcentral is "transfer RNA-Glu(UUG)". It matches the Rfam family "tRNA". From Rfam's summary of the family: Transfer RNA (tRNA) molecules are approximately 80 nucleotides in length. Their secondary structure includes four short double-helical elements and three loops (D, anti-codon, and T loops). Further hydrogen bonds mediate the characteristic L-shaped molecular structure. tRNAs have two regions of fundamental functional importance: the anti-codon, which is responsible for specific mRNA codon recognition, and the 3' end, to which the tRNAs corresponding amino acid is attached (by aminoacyl-tRNA synthetases). tRNAs cope with the degeneracy of the genetic code in two manners: having more than one tRNA (with a specific anti-codon) for a particular amino acid; and 'wobble' base-pairing, i.e. permitting non-standard base-pairing at the 3rd anti-codon position. The record is from RNAcentral. Lineage: Eukaryota; Viridiplantae; Chlorophyta; Trebouxiophyceae; Chlorellales; Chlorellaceae.